GCUCCUUCUGCCCCUUCCAGCUCAUUUCUGACCCUUUCUGCUCCUUCUACUUUACCUUUGUGCUGCUUUACCUUCCAGCUCCUUGCUGACCCUUCCUGUUCAUUUCUGUUCCUUGUGCUCCUUCUCCUACUUUACCUUUUGUGCUCCUUGCUGUCCCUUCCAGCUCCUUGCUGCCCCUUUCUGCUCCUUGAUGUCCCUUCCUUCUCAUUUCUGUUCCUUCUCCUUUUCUUACUUUACCUUCCUGCUCCUUGCUGACUCUUCAUGUAGGCUGUCUCCCCCAUCCCUCACUUCCAUAGGCGUGCGCACGGGGUGUGUCGGGUGUGCAUGGGCACACCCUAAUCCCCUGCGGCACGCUAAUGGAUUGAGACCGGCAGUGGAGAUCUCUGGAUCUCCCCGGUCGGCUCAUGCAGAGCCGAAGCUAUCCGAGUGGCGGCUCUGGUCUA
Molecule: non-coding RNA, 443 nt
Organism: Pelobates cultripes (western spadefoot toad)
Lineage: Eukaryota; Metazoa; Chordata; Amphibia; Anura; Pelobatidae
Source: the annotation of a GenBank genome assembly